UACGGCUACCUUGUUACGACUUAGCCCCAGUUACCAGUUUUACCCUAGGCGACUCCUUACGGUUAUCGACUUCAGGUACCCCCGGCUUCCAUGGCUUGACGGGCGGUGUGUACAAGGCCCGGGAACGUAUUCACCGCACCAUGGCUGAUGUGCGAUUACUAGCGAAUCCGACUUCACGUGGUCGAGUUGCAGACCACGAUCCGAACUGAGACCGGUUUUGAGGAUUAGCAUCAUGUUGCCAUGUAGCUGCCCAUUGUACCGGCCAUUGUAGCACGUGUGUAGCCCUGGACGUAAGGGCCGUGAUGAUUUGACGUCAUCCCCACCUUCCUCUCUACUUGCGUAGGCAGUUUUGCUAGAGUUCCCGGCAUUACCCGCUGGCAACUAACAAUAGGGGUUGCGCUCGUUAUGGGACUUAACCCGACACCUCACGGCACGAGCUGACGACAACCAUGCAGCACCUUGCAGUCCGUCCGAAGAAAGUCUGGUUUCCCAGACGGUCGUUCUGCAUUUAAGCCCAGGUAAGGUUCCUCGCGUAUCAUCGAAUUAAACCACAUGCUCCUCCGCUUGUGCGGGCCCCCGUCAAUUCCUUUGAGUUUCAAUCUUGCGAUCGUACUUCCCAGGUGGAUCACUUAACGCUUUCGCUUGGACGCUGACGGUGUACUGCCAACAUCGAGUGAUCAUCGUUUAGGGCGUGGACUA
Molecule: ribosomal RNA, 699 nt
Filed under: uncultured bacterium
Lineage: Bacteria
Description: partial 16S ribosomal RNA
Source: RNAcentral